RNAcentral lists this ribosomal RNA (437 nucleotides) under uncultured bacterium. RNAcentral describes it as "partial 16S ribosomal RNA". It matches the Rfam family "Bacterial small subunit ribosomal RNA", at positions 28 to 507 of the family's 1533-position model. The record is from RNAcentral.
GUUGAACGCUGGCGGCAUGCCUAACACAUGCAAGUCGGACGGGAAGUCGUGUUUUUAGUGCCGGAGGCGAGAGUAACGCGUAAGAAUCUGCCAUCGGGACGGGUCCAACAGCUGGAAACGGCCGCUCAUACCCCGUAGGCAGACCAGCAACAGGGGGGAUCCGCCCGCGGGGGGGCUUGCGUCUGAUUAACUAGUGGGUGAGGCAUUAGCUUACCAGGGCGAUGAUCAGUAGCUGGUCGGAGAGGAUGAUCGGCCAGACUGGGACGGGGAGACGGCCUAGGGUCCUACGGAAGACGGGAGAGAGGAUGUUCCCGCAAUGCGGGGAGGGCGGACGGAGCAAUGGGGCGGGGAAGUAGAAGGGCCAGGGGUGGAAAACUGCGUUUCACGACGAAGAGGGAAUGACGGUAUCGGAAGAAUAAGCACCGGCUAACUCUGUG